RNAcentral lists this transfer RNA (72 nucleotides) under Camelus bactrianus (Bactrian camel). It matches the Rfam family "tRNA". From Rfam's summary of the family: Transfer RNA (tRNA) molecules are approximately 80 nucleotides in length. Their secondary structure includes four short double-helical elements and three loops (D, anti-codon, and T loops). Further hydrogen bonds mediate the characteristic L-shaped molecular structure. tRNAs have two regions of fundamental functional importance: the anti-codon, which is responsible for specific mRNA codon recognition, and the 3' end, to which the tRNAs corresponding amino acid is attached (by aminoacyl-tRNA synthetases). tRNAs cope with the degeneracy of the genetic code in two manners: having more than one tRNA (with a specific anti-codon) for a particular amino acid; and 'wobble' base-pairing, i.e. permitting non-standard base-pairing at the 3rd anti-codon position. Lineage: Eukaryota; Metazoa; Chordata; Mammalia; Artiodactyla; Camelidae. The record is from Rfam by way of RNAcentral. RNAcentral also lists the same sequence under 3 other names.
GAGGGUAUAGCUCAGUGGCAGAGUGUAUGCUUGGCAUGCAUGAGGGUCUGGGUUCAAUCCCCAGCACCUCCA